GGAUGAACGCUGGCGGUAUGCUUAACACAUGCAAGUCGAACGGUACCUUCGGGUAUAGUGGCGGACGGGUGAGUAACGCGUGAGAAUCUAUCUUCAGGUCGGGGACAACAGUUAGAAAUGACUGCUAAUACCGGAUGUGCCGAAAGGUGAAAGAUUAAUUGCCUGAAGUUGAGCUCGCGUCAGAUUAGCUAGUAGGUGGUGUAAGAGACUACCUAGGCAUCGAUCUGUAGCUGGUCUGAGAGGACGAUCAGCCACACUGGAACUGAGACACGGUCCAGACUCCUACGGGAGGCAGCAGUGGGGAAUUUUCCGCAAUGGGCGAAAGCCUGACGGAGCAAUACCGCGUGAGGGACGAAGGCUUUUGGGUCGUAAACCUCUUUUCUCAAGGAAGAUAGUGACGGUACUUGAGGAAUAAGCAUCGGCUAACUCUGUGCCAGCAGCCGCGGUAAUACAGAGGAUGCAAGCGUUAUCCGGAAUGAUUGGGCGUAAAGCGUCCGCAGGUGGUUUUGAAAGUCUGCUGUUAAAGCGUGUGGCUCAACCACAUACAGGCAGUGGAAACUAUAAGACUAGAGUAUGUUAGGGGUAGAGGGAAUUCCCAGUGUAGCGGUGAAAUGCGUAGAGAUUGGGAAGAACACCGGUGGCGAAAGCGCUCUGCUAGGACAAUACUGACACUGAGGGACGAAAGCUAGGGGAGCGAAUGGGAUUAGAUACCCCAGUAGUCCUAGCCGUAAACGAUGGAUACUAGGCGUUGCCCGUAUCGACCCGGGCAUUGUCGUAGCUAACGCGUUAAGUAUCCCGCCUGGGGAGUACGCACGCAAGUGUGAAACUCAAAGGAAUUGACGGGGCCCCGCACAAGCGGUGGAGUAUGUGGUUUAAUUCGAUGCAACGCGAAGAACCUUACCAGGACUUGACAUGUCGCGAACCCUGCUGAAAGGUGGGGGUGCCUUCGGGAGCGCGAACACAGGUGGUGCAUGGCUGUCGUCAGCUCGUGUCGUGAGAUGUUGGGUUAAGUCCCGCAACGAGCGCAACCCUCGUUUUUAGUUGCCAUCAUUAAGUUGGGCACUCUAGAGAGACUGCCGGUGACAAACCCGGAGGAAGGUGGGGAUGACGUCAAGUCAGCAUGCCCCUUACGUCCUGGGCUACACACGUACUACAAUGCUACGAACAAAGGGCAGCUAGUUAGCAAUAACAUGCAAAUCUCAGAAAUCGUAGCUCAGUUCAGAUUGAAGGCUGCAACUCGCCUUCAUGAAGUCGGAAUCGCUAGUAAUUGCAGGUCAGCAUACUGCAGUGAAUUCGUUCCCGGGCCUUGUACACACCGCCCGUCACACCAUGGAAGCUGGUCACGCCCGAAGUAGUUAUCCUAACAGUUCGCCGGGGGAGACUCCGAAGGUAGGGCUGGUGACUGGGGUGAAGUCGUAACAAGGUAGCCGUACCGGAAGGUGUGGCUGGAUCACCUCCUUUUUAGGGAGACCUACCGUUCCUUGUCGUAAUACGUACUUCAGUACGUAAAAAACAACAAGAAGGUCAUCACCUAGGUCGAGAGAGAAUUGGCUUUGGCUUCAAACUAUUAUCGGAUUCGGAUUAACAAAAAAUAAAAACAAGCAUAUAUACAGUCAGCAACUUUGGUUAGUAAUAUAACAAAGCCUGCUGGAUGUAUAUCCAGUAAGAACCUUGAAAACUGCAUAGUGACGCAAAUUGUAGGCAGUAAACGUGUUGAGUUGAAUUACUUUCGUAAUUAGAACAAGAAGGCACGGGUAUUGAAUUACAGAUAAUCC
This 1775-nucleotide ribosomal RNA is filed under the name Calothrix sp. PCC 7103. Its description in RNAcentral is "bacterial SSU rRNA". The stretch from base 1 to 1461 matches the Rfam family "Bacterial small subunit ribosomal RNA". The record is from RNAcentral. Lineage: Bacteria; Bacillati; Cyanobacteriota; Cyanophyceae; Nostocales; Calotrichaceae.